CAGCUAGCGGGAGGAGUUUAGACAAGGUAACAGACGAUACUGCGAAUGAAACUCCCAACAAACAGGAAGAAUUUUCCAAUGAUGAAAAGAUGCAGGAGGCCAAUGCACUUCCGGAGCUUUCAGAGCGGCGCGAAAGGCUCUCUUUGAACCAUUGGAACCUGUAACAAAUAUCAAUGGAAAACGACCAUCAGCUGAAUCCCUUCUCCCUCCACCUGAUUUCGACUCAACAAGCUAUCCCAAGGGUUGGCUAAUUGGAAAGAAGCGGAAGCUUGUUAAUGUAGAUGUUGUUGAAAGCAUGAGGAGGAUUGCUGUUCAGGAAAUGAACAGAAAGGACCGAGAAAUCAAUGGAUUAAAUGAGCAGUUGGAAGGGGAUGCAAGGUGUCUAGAACACCUGCAACUCCAGCUUCUGCAAGAACGAAGUAAACGUGCCGAGUUUGAGAGAGAGAACGCAAUGCUGCAAGACCAAGUAUCCAUGCUGAUGAACAUGCUAGAGGAAAAUGAACAAAUGGGUGAUGAAGGUGCCAGGGAUGAAGACCCUGAUGAACCUUAAACGGUAGCUUGAUUUUCUGUUUUAUUUUUUUGUAGGCUUGUUUGAAAAGUUAGAAGGAAUCACACAUGAAUAUAAAUAUAUAUGUCCUGAUAGUUUGUUGGAGGUGGUAUUGCUAUUACUUUGCGCAUGAUUGAUGUUGUUUAUAAUAGUCUCAUAUUUCGUAGGCAUAUACACCGAAGUAAUUUGUUCAUCUGUUAUUGCCUUGGCCGAGAAUAUUCAAUAUUUUUU
This 778-nucleotide unclassified non-coding RNA is filed under the name Hevea brasiliensis (rubber tree). Lineage: Eukaryota; Viridiplantae; Streptophyta; Magnoliopsida; Malpighiales; Euphorbiaceae. The record is from RNAcentral.